UGUUCAUUAGUGGGAAGAGCAGGACAGGAAAGAGAGCUGUGACCGCCAACGGCAGGGCUUCCGUGCACCAAAACAAUGCCAUCACUAUGAUCACGUAGCCACAUUGGGCCUCCUGGCAGAGGAAGAGUACACACAGUCAGAACAGACUGUACAUCUCACGUAGGCUUGGAGAAGGCAACAGCCCGUAAUUAUAUUCAUUGCCUGAUAAAGGGAUUUGAGAAAAGGCUAUUUUCUGUGUUCCCCUCCCGUCUGGCCUCCCACCUGUGCAGAUCCUAAUCAACUGACAAACUAUUCAACAACCUUGUCAGAACAGUGAGGAAAAGACUGGGGCGUGCGAUGGGGACAAACAAGAAACUUAGGAGAAGAAACAAAUGGGUGACUUUGAACCCUUCAUGAUAAGGAAGCGGCUGUCUCUGCACAGACUUCUUGAUUUUGCUGAUGGUGGUAUUUUCUUUUGAUAUAUUUCUGUGUUUAAUUUGCAGAAAUAGUUACUGACUAUUACUGUCAGGGUUUCUCCACCCCUUUUUCUGCACGUUUCAGAACAUGGCCUAGAUGAACCACAGCUAAUUUCAACAGCCUGGAUUCCUUGUACUCUUGUUACAGAAUUUGAACGGCUCACUGACAAACCGGUCACAGCUUCCACUGCCUUUGACUUGCUUCGUUGAAGAAGCUGACUACAUAGAAACCAGAGAGAGACAUUCAGAGAAACCAGAGGAACUCAACCAAGACUGCCAAAUCAUUCCACAGGUUGGCCUCCAGCUGCAGCCUGGCCUACGGGGUGUGAGUGACAACGCAGAAGGGCCUCAGCUGACGAAUCGUGCCUGUUCUUCAGAACCAGCACAUCUACAGGGUUUGUUUCCACUGCUACGUGAGUCCUGCUGCUUUCAAAGAUGGGACCCAAGCGCAAGCCCCGCCGCUCGGAAGGUGAUGGGAACACGGAGCUGAGCCCUUCCCCGGUUCACGGGGGGACAUCACGACAACCAGCCCCAAAUCCCCCCGGUUCCCCCCGUCCUGCUGCCGCCUCCGGGGGCGGGGCGGGGCCGGCGGGCGAGGGCAGCCCGUCCCGGGCGGAGCGCUCGGCUCCUCCGCCCCCCGUC
This is a long non-coding RNA of Calidris pugnax (ruff), 1097 nucleotides long. RefSeq lists it as uncharacterized. The record is from RefSeq and is a predicted model, not a curated record. NCBI's taxonomy places the organism in Eukaryota, Metazoa, Chordata, Aves, Charadriiformes, Scolopacidae. The transcript has 5 exons.